CCCUAUUUUGUCAGUUGUCUUUCCAUUUUCAUAAUGAUGUCCUUUGAAGAACAAAAGUGUUAAUUUUUAAUAAGUCCAAUUUGCCUAUCUUUUUCUUUUGUUGCUUGUAUCCAAAAUUCAUAUGACUAGUCUGUUGUUUCUUUUCUGGUAUAGCAUGGUCAGCUUUGGAGAUCAAUGUAAUACCUACUUCAUAAAAAUAAAUUCUAAUUUUUUUCUCUUUCAUGAUUUGAAAUAAUUUAAGUAGCAUUAUAAUUAUGUUAUUAUUAAAGACUUGGUUGAAUUCUUCCAUGAAACAAUCUGGAGAUCUUCUCUUUAUGGGGGUGUAUUCAGUUACUUUCUCUAUUUAAGAUCAUUUGUCUGUGUAGACUGUCUCCACUGGGGUCAAUUUUAGUCACCUGCAUUUUUUUCUAAAAACUCAUCUACUUAGUUUACAUUUUCAAAGUUAUUUCCAUAGAGCUAUUGUAAGUAGUACAUAGAGACAAAGAACCUUAAGGAACUUUUAAAAAUUCUUGCCAUUAUACUGAUGCAGACUAUCCUUUCAAACAGCUAUCAAAGAGAGUUAUGUUCUUGUUAGAGAAAGGAACUAUUCUUCUUUAACUUCAGCUAACAGUGAUAAAGUUGAAUUAAAAUGUAAAUUAGGCCAGCUUAAUAAAACACUUAAUUAUUAACCCCCUUGGCUAAAUAACAUACAAAAUCAAUAUACAAAAAUGUAUACCAUUUCUAUAUACCAAUAAAUUUUAAGCUGAGAGCCAAAUCAAGAAUGCAAUCCCUUUUAUGAUAGUUGCGAAAAAACUUCUCUAACCAUGUAGAUCAAAGAUCUCUACAAGGAACAUUGGAAACCACUGCUAAAAGAAAUCAUAGAUGACAUAAAUAAAUGGAAAAACAUUCCAUGUUCAUGGAUUGGAAGAAUCAGUAUCAGUAAAAUGGUCAUACUGCCCAAAACAAUCUACAGAUUCAACACUACUCCCAUCAAGCUACCAACGUCAUUUUUCACAGAACUAGAAAAAAACUAUUCUAAAAUUCAUAUGGAACCAAAAAAGAGCACAAAUAGUCAAUGCAAACCUAAACAAAAACAACAGAUCCAGAGGCAUCACUUUACUCAACAUCCAACUAUGCUAUAAGACUACAGUUACCAAAAUGACAUGGUACUGGUACAAAAACAGAAACAGACCAAUGGAACAGAACAGAGUGCCUAAAGUCACACAUCUAUAGUCAUCUGAUCUUCUACAAAGUUGACGAAAACAAGCAAGGGGAAAUGGACUCCCUAUUCAUUAAAUGGUGCUGGGAUAGCUGGCUAGCCAUAUAAGGAUUGAAACUGAACCUCUACCUUUCACCAUACACAAAAACUAACUGAAGAUGGAUUAAAGAUUUUAAUGUAAGACCUCAAACUAUAAGAAUUCUAGAAGAAAACCUAGGAAACAUCAUUCUAAACAUGGGUCUUGGAAAAUAACUUAUGACUAAGUCCUCAAAAGCAAUUGCAACAAAAACAAAAAUUGACAAGUGAGAACAAUUUAAAGAGCUUCUGCACAGCAAAAUAAAUUACAAACAGAGCAAACUGACAACCUACUGAAUGGGAGAAAAUAUUUGCAAACUAUGGAGCCAACAAAGGUCUAAUAUCUAGAAUCCAUAAGGAACUUAAACAAUUGAAAAAGCAAAAAACAAAUAACCCAUUAAGAAAUGGGCAAAAGACAUGAACAGACACUUCUCAAAAGAAGACAUAUAAGUGGUCAAAAAACAUAUUAAAAAAUGCUCAACAUCCCUAAUCAUCACAGAAAUGCAAAUCAAAACUACAAUGAGAUAUUAUCUCACACCAGUCAGAAUGGCUAUUACUAAAAAGUUAACAAAUGCUGGCAAGGCUGUGGAGAAAAGGGAACACUUAUGCACUGUUAGUGAGAAUGUGAAUUAAUUCAGCCACUAUGGAAAACCAUUUGGAGAUUUCUCAAAGAACUUAGAGCUACCAUUUGACCCAACAAUCCCAUUAUUUUGUAUAUACCCCCCCAAAAAAUAAAUCAUUUCACCAAAAAGACAUAUGUACUUGUAUGUUCAUUACAGCACUAUUCAUAGUAGCAAAGACAUGAAAUCAACCUUGGUGCCCAUCAAUGCUGAAUUGGAUAAAGAAAAUAUAGUACAUAUACACUGUGGAAUAUUACAUAGCCAUAAAAAAGAAUGGGCUUUUUUUGUUGUUGUUAUUGCAGAAAUAUGGAUGCAGCUGGAAGCCAUUAUCCUAAGUGGAUUAAUGCAGGAACAGACAACCAAAUACUGCAUGCCCACACCUAUAAGUCAGAGCUAAGCAAUGGGUAUUCUUGGGCAUAAAGAUGGCAACAAUAGAUACUAUGGAACAUAAGAUGGGAGAGGGAGAGAGAGAGUUCAAAAACUAGCAAUUGGGUACUAUGCUCAGUGAUGGAAUCCAUCAUACUCCAUAUCUCAGCAUGACACAAUAUACUCAAGUAACAAACUUGCACAUGUAAGCCCUGAAUCUAAAAUAAAAAUUGAAUCUAUAAAAAGAAAACAAAAUAUUAUAAUUUUAUAUGUUAUUUGGCUUUAAAAAUGAAUAUUAAACAGUAUUGAAUGAUCCAUUCAAAACAGACUUAUCAGAAGCACAUUUAAUCUUAUCCAUUUUCAGGCAGAAAACAAAUGAGCCUUUUGAAUUUUAAAACAAUAUAUGUAGCAGAUUUCAGCACAAUAUUAUUAUCAUUCUUCUGGGAAUUUGUUGUUAUCAAAAAUGUGUAGUAAUGCGUAUAUUAACUAGCUCAAGUGAACCAUUCUAUAAUGUAUACAUAUUUUAAAACAUCAUGUUGUACAUGAUAAAUAUGAACAAUUUUUGUCAAUUAAAAAA
RNAcentral lists this long non-coding RNA (2836 nucleotides) under Homo sapiens (human). RNAcentral's name for it is "HSALNT0088932". Lineage: Eukaryota; Metazoa; Chordata; Mammalia; Primates; Hominidae. The record is from RNAcentral.